RNAcentral lists this long non-coding RNA (1442 nucleotides) under Nicotiana benthamiana. RNAcentral describes it as "long non-coding RNA (NBEN_LNC038919)". The record is from RNAcentral. Lineage: Eukaryota; Viridiplantae; Streptophyta; Magnoliopsida; Solanales; Solanaceae.
AGAUAUUGCAAAAAGCCGGGCCAUACUACUGAAAAGUUCUACAAGUUAAUUGGAUAUCCUAAUAAUCCUCAACCUAAUAGAUUCAGAAAAACUGCAGCUUAUACACAUGUUUCAGAGUCUUAGAACAUGGGCCAAGAAGAGAACUUUGUUGGUGACAAUCGAGUUGAACAGCCUGAGUCCAAGAAUCAUGGUUUCACAAAGGAACAAUACGACCAUUUGCUAAAUCUGUUUCAAUAGACCAAGGUGACUACACAGGAUAACACUAUUUCUGGAUCUGCUAAUUUUGCAGGUUUGUUUCACUGUCUUGAUGUUAGAAAUUAUUGUGUCUUUGCUUGCAAUUUGUCUAAAUUAUAUGGUGAUCCUUGGAUAAUAGACUCUUGUGCAACUAAUCAUAUGACGCCUCAGAAAUCUCUGUUAAUCAAGAUGGUGAUCCUUUGAUAAUAGACUCUGGUGCAACUAAUCAUAUGACACCUCAGAAAUCUCUGUUAAUCAAUCUUAAACCUUUAAUCAUUCCUUACUUUGUAAUUCUUCCUAAUGGUUAUAGAGUCAAAGUGACUUGUUCAGGCUCUCUUCCUUUGUUUAAUGGUCUAGUUUUACAAAAUGUUUUACUUGUUCCCUCUUUCAAAUACAAUUUGAUUUCCUUGCGUCAACUUUUAUUGAAACUCUAUUGUAAUGCUCUUUUCUCCCCUUAUGAUUGUGUUUUACAGGGCCCUUCUCUGAAGAGGCCACUGGUUCUUAGUAAAAUCUCUAAUGGACUGUACAUAUUCCAGAGUGACUCUCCUUCAUCAUCUUAUAUUCCUGAUCUUUCAACUGGUGAUACUAGUUCUAAUGUUUAUGUUAAUUCUGGUUGUGUUCCAUCUGUUUCUUCUUCCAUACACACUAUAAAUAUCAUUGAAGCAAAUAAAACUGUUAACAGUUGUGUGCAUCCUAUUUCUCCUGCUUUCUAUUUUGAUAUGUUUUGGCACCUUACACUUGGUCACAUGCCUUUUUCUAAAAUGAAAUCUAUUUCCUACAUUAAUGACAAACUAUCUAAGAAACAGUCCUUUAUUUGUGAUGUUUGUCCCAUGGCUAGGCAGCGAAGACUUUCUUUCCCCGAUAGCUCCAUUAAAUCUACCACCCCCUUUCAACUUGUACAUGUAGAUUUGUGGGGACCUUACCAUACUCAAACUUACAAUGGAUUUAGAUUUUUUUUAACUAUAGUAGAUGAUUUUUCCAGGGCUACUUGGACUCAUUUGCUUUCCACCAAAUCCAAUGCUUUUGCUCUACUGAAGUCAUUCAUAUUCUUUGUGCAUAACCAAUUCAAUUCUUCUGUCAAAACACUUCGAUCUGAUAAUGCAUUUGAACUAGGUUCAAGUGCUGAAGCUGUUUCUUUCUUUUCAUCUCAAGGUAUUAUACACCAAACUUCAUGUUCACAUACUCUUCAACAAAAUGGAGUAGUGGAG